Molecule: RNA transcript, 4091 nt
Organism: Scylla paramamosain (green mud crab)
Lineage: Eukaryota; Metazoa; Arthropoda; Malacostraca; Decapoda; Portunidae
Exons: 3
Source: RefSeq, a predicted model, not a curated record
GUGUGUGUGUGUUUUCAAGGUGUUUUGGAAAGGAUAGGGAUGUUUUUGUUAUUGUUGUUGUUGUUUGUGAUGUUUUUUGCAUGUUGUUCUAUUUCCUGGGUGUUUUUGGGAGAGAUAACUGGGUUACUGAUUUUUUAGGGCGGUGUUUCAUCAGCAAAUAUAUAUAGAUGGCGCAGCUGGCGUCACUGCAAAUAUAUAGAUGGCGCAGCUGGCGUCACUGCAAAUAUAUAGAUGGCGCAGCUGGCGUCACUGCAAAUAUAUAGAUGGCGCAGCUGGCGUCACUGCAAAUAUAUAGAUGGCGCAGCUGGCAUCACUGCAAAUAUAUAGAUGGCGCAGCUGGCGUCACUGCAAAUAAAGGCAUUGCAUAAAUGGUCUGUCUGGCGCUAUAAUGCUUCAUCAGUGACCAACAAAAUAAACACUCUAUGUAUUAUCUUCAUCGCUAAUCCUUGGUGUUAGUUGUCAGUUGCUGAAAUGAACAAGGCCAGCCUCCAGGAAGGUGGUGACUGUGAAGCCGUGUCGGCAGCCAUCUUGGAACAUUUGUAUCGAUGUGAUGUAAUCUUAUGUAUAGAUGUGUGUGGGCGUGUUUAGGCGUGUGUGGGCGUGUGUGUGGAGGUGUGGAUACGUACAGGCAUGUUUGGGUGUGUGUGGGUGCAUGUGGCCUUAAGUGGGCGUCUGUGGGCGUGCAUUUCCUUACGUAGGCGUGUGUGGAAGCAAGUAUGGUUUUAUGUGGGCGUAUGUAUGGAUGCGUAUGGGCGUGUAUGAAUGCCUGUGGAUGCGUGUGGGUGUGUGGGCUCGCGUGGGCGUGUAUUUCCUUGCGUGGGCGUGUGUAUGUAUAGCUUUAUGUGGGCGUGUGUAUGGACGAAUGAAUACGUAUGGGCGUGUGUGAACGGCUGUGGAUACUACAUGUGUGUGUAUAUGGACGUGUGUGGGCGUGUAGUGAAGCACGCAUGGCUUCGUGUGGCGUGUGUGGGCGAAUUGAAGGGUCCAGCUCCGUUGGCAGCCCGCCAUGAAAACAUGACGUCAUCGAGAGUCGAGACCCAGACCGAGACCUUCCCUCCUCCUCUGUGUCUUUUGGUCGAUGUUUCCCAAAAUUUCCAAUGUUUUUCGGCCACUUCCGGGUAAUUAGAUAUACUACUACUACUACUACUACUGCACCACCUGUCUUGCCCCACUGCCGCCCGCUGAUGCACCACCUGUCCUGUCCCACCGCCACCCUCUCGUGCAUCACCUCUUAUCCUGCCCCGCCGCCGCCUGCUGGUGCACCAACUCUUGUCCUGCCCCACUGCCGCCCGCUGGUGCACCACCUCCUGUCCUGCCCCGCCGCCGCCCGCUGGUGCACCACCUGUCCUACCACGCCGCCACCCUUUGGGGUUGGUGUGUGUGUGUGUGUGUGUCAAGGUGGCGGCCAGGUCACUUUACAGCUGACUGUGCUCCGAGUUUUUGCCAUUUUGUGGGUUCCUGAGGGCUCCUGGAGAUCCAGACGACAUCUCACGUUAUAUGAAUGCAGUAAGACCUUAGUGAGCAACUUUCGUCUUGGCAGUGGGAACCCAGAAGAUAGAAGGAGUCGUAAAAAGAAGCUGCCGUCUGGGAAAACACUUCCUCAAAUCGCCAACUCCUGCCGGCGCUUGUGCAGUAGGGGUUUGACGUCACACCGUUACCAUGGCAACCAAACAGCUGUCAGACUUGCAUAAAUUUCAGCGUAAUCAACUAGCAAAGAUUAACAAAGAAGAUUUAAUAGACUCCAUACUAGCAUCUGACGCACAAGAUGGUGAGCUGGCUAAACUGAACAAGACACUUGACGAGGUUAUGAAUGAAGUUAAAUUACUGAGAGACAUGAUUACUUCCCCAGAGAGUACACUGAACCAGAACUACACCGAACUCGAGGCUCAGGUCGACAAGCAGGCUGAGGUAAUGGUGAAGCAGCAGCAGUUCUUAGAAGCACUUGAUUGAAAAGAGCGAGAGGCGAACAUCAUUAUCUUGGGUGUACCGGAUGAACACGACACACUGGAAGGUGCCGCGCAUGACGAGGAGAAAAUGAGCAAGAUUUGGUCCAAAAUGGGUGUAGGCAGUGUGAGUGGUACUCAUCGUCGGCUGGGUAACAACACUUCACUCGGCACCAGGCGACGUCCCAUCCUGUUCACGCUGGCUGAUGAGGGACAACGCAGUACCAUCCUGGACAACGCCAACCGCUUGAAGACAUCUGGUGACAAUUACAACAAGAUUUAUGUCAAGGAGGAUGUCCACCCUUGUGUGAGGAGGGAGUGGCGACGAUUACGGGAAGCAGAGACGACAGAGAAGGCACGACCAGAGAAUGCAGGCUGUGCGGUACGUCUGGACACGAGGGAAGGGAAGCUGUAUAGGGAUGCAGAUGUGAUUGAUAGCUGGAAUCCUCAGUUUUUUUUAACAUCACCACAGCAUACAAGAAAGAUAAGAUCAAUGUCGUGGAACACAGGUGGAGUGCGCACAAAGUUAGAAAAGGCAGAUGUACAACAGAUGUUACAUGAUUACGACAUAAUUUGUAUUAAUGAAGUUAAAACAGCUAUGCCAGUGUCUUUCCCAGGUUAUGUGACGUGUAAGAGUAAAGAAGUUGGUGCUGCAGAGCGAGGUGGAACAGUUGUAUGUAUUAACAACUGGUCAUCUACUUCAGUAUUUGAUGUUGACACAAGCACGGGAGAUCAAGUUUGGAUGCAAUUUCGCAAUGUUGAGGGUGAACCAUUUGCCUUUUGUUACAUUCCUCCUUGUGACUCUCCGUAUUACUCCCAUGGCUUACUUGCCUCUAUUCAAGUGAAGGUAAAUUCUAGGUACAUGCAUAAAGGAUAUUUCAUUGUUGGUGACAUGAAUGCGAGAUUUGGGAACAGUGUGAGGCAAUUAUUGUCAUUAACAGAGAUACCUGAUGUGAACAACAUGUCAUACCCAGUGAUCCACGAUGAUGUAAACAGUGCUGGUGACAAUGCUGAGGUGUUGUCUGCUAUGUGCAUCGAUAACAAAUUACUUGUCAUUAAUAACCUCAUGUGUGGUGACAGACAUUUUCCUGGUGACAAAACAUUCAGAACACGUGACACUUGGAUCUCAGAGGUAGACACACGUGUGUAGCGUCUCCAUCUCUGAUUGACUGUUAAGCGAUUGUACCGUGUUAAGGCGAGGUGAUCUGCCUUCCGAUCAUGCCCCCAUUACAGUAACGGUAACUUGUACAGGUGUAGAUGUGGGGAGUCUCAGGACGAGGGCUGCGUCACUGGGAGAUCACGCAACCCUUCAUGGCAAUGCAGCAACAAUUGUUUAUUAAGGAAGUCUCUAAAAUUUCACAGAAUCAAAAAAGAAAGAUUUGUGCAAGACAUUAUGCAAAGGAUGUCUCAUGGCGAAGAUACUGAUGUUGACGCCUUUGACAAAUGUAUUAGUGAUGUACUGUAUUCGUGUGUGGAGGACAGUUUAGACAGUGGUGACAGAGCAACAAUGACAGGUAGUUGCAAUCCUGGUAGGAGGGAAAGACUGCUGAGUGAGUCAGAUGAUGCAGCAGUAUGGAGAGCUACUGACUGGAAAGGCGACUUUAACAUUGAUAGAACUGAUGACAAUUUGUGCCCCAGUGAUGAUGAUUUUAAAUGUCACUCUGAGUCUGUGCUGGACCGAGAGGAUGUGCACAAUGAUAAUGCAGAUGAUGUAACAACUCCACCAACAACAAAUGUCACUAUCCCAAUCACUAAACAAUUCUGUAUUUAAGUUCUCCUCUACGGCAGAAUCGAACUGGGAACCUUAGCGCACGGGUAAAGGACUGUGCCAAAGAGCUACCUGGCGUACAAAGAGAGAGAGAGAGAGAGAGAGAGAGAGAGAGAGAGAGAGAGAGAGAGAGAGAGAGAGAGAGCCUGGUGUGUUCCAUCGCCUCGGGUCACGUGUCAGUGUUCAGCCUGCCCAGUCUCCGCCAGCUCAUUGACAUUGAUUUCCUUCCUCUCGUCAACCUCAGGCAUUGUCCAUGAUGCUUCCUGUGUUGUGGUUCCAUCAUGGCAGGCAUGGAAGUGCCUCUCACUGCAUCACCGCCUCAUGAUCAUUGAGAGCAUGGACACAGACACUGAGGCCCUAGUGGGUACGUGGACCUCCUC